UAUAGUUGGUUGAAAUAAAAACACAAAAAUGGUUAAUUCAGAAAAUAUGUCUGUAUUUUUAACUCUAUAGAUUCUAUUACAGUUAUCAAGGUUUGAAAUAUUCGUGAUUUUAGAAGUAUUGGUUGAUUUUGUAAGUUGCAAUGAUCGGAGUAUUUCAGUAGGUCAAUUCUAAGUCAGUGACUUUGGAGGUUGGCGUGUGCGAAUGAUUUUUCGAGGGCGAAUUUAUCUCUUCCUGGACAAUUUUAAGGUAGCGGAGUUUGGACUUAACUCUACCUAAGGUAGUCACUGUGCUCCAUAGUAAUGCCAGCCGACUAUGAAAUGUUAGUGGCACACAGUCCUCCGGUCUCUGCAGACUUCUUUUCAAACUUCGCGAGCUACAGGCUGAGAUACAAGCAUCCUCCAGCCUGUUCCUAUAUCCGUCCCCUACAGUUCGGCUCCCAACUACCUGCUCAACACACUUCCCCGCCUCUACAGCCUCAAACUAAUUCGCAUUCUACAUUAUUAAAAAUGCCAGUAGCAGUUCCAAGGCGUCCCUGCCUCGUCGUACGGCCUGAGGACACCUCUAGUUCUUCGGAUGAGAAUGAUCUUCCAAGCCCAACUCGACUGAAAAAGAAGGUUGUGUUUGCCGAUGAUAAGGGUCUGUCAUUAACACAGGUUCGCGUAAUGACUGAACCGUCGAACGUCCCUCCAGCUUUCAGUUUUCAGUUCCUUGCCCAAGUAACAAGAGGCAUCUCGGCCGAAGUAGUACCUGAACCUUGGGAAGUGACGUUCCAACAACCCGCCUCGGAUUACCUGGACUUCCGCAAGCGUCUGGAUACGGGAAAUGUCUCUCUUGAGAACGUUAUCGUCCGCGAAGCCGAGGACAUUGUCGUGGGUACCGUGAAAGUGCGAAAUGUCGCUUACCACAAAGAAGUAUUUGUCCGAUCAACGUCUGACGAAUGGAGAACACAUGAAGAUGCCUACUGUACAUUCGUCAAUAACAACUCCACGGUCUCUGCAGCUGCAUCGUAUGUCUUGUACGAUACGUUCUCAUUCCGUCUUACUUUGCCGCCCCGUUCGGUCCGAAUUGAGUUCUGCGUGUGUUUUCGGUGUGAAGGAGCCGAGUACUGGGACAGUAACUCGGGAAAGAACUAUGUCCUUCUCAAGAAGUCUUCCAGCAACGAAGAAGAAUUGCUCUUGCUCAAGCUGAGGCGCAGUAAAGGCGAUACCUUGCCCGUCGAGAAUGCAGUCAGGUGUGCUGAUGCUGUUCAUGCCAAACUUGAUUCUUGGUCAGAAUUUGCGAGUUGGAACCAUUUGGAUAAUAGCACUCCAUAUUGGUGACUUGCCCCAUUCGAUUCGCUCCUUCCGUGCGGAGUAACAUCAUCGGUGGUACUCUGUUUCUCCGGAUCUUGCGAGGACUCUGCCACGCCUAGAAUGAACCAUUCAAAAGAAUGCCGUUUGAAGAUUGUGUCAGCAGUUUGUUUUCCACGUGCAGUCUCUCUACCUAAAGCUGCUAGUCUCCAAUACUUCACCCACCUGACUAUGUUUAUCCUAAUGUAACUCAUGUUACAAUAAACCGUACAUAAGUUCAGAUUCUGGUAUGCACCAGAAUCAACUGAUAGCAGUGGUGCAGCAUUCAGACAAGAAGGGGACUGAAUAAAUGUUCCAGACAAUGAAUUCUGCUUUGUACAAAUGCUGUUGGGAGAAACAAAGAUUGAAGGCAAGAGAUUAAUGAGGCAAUUUGCAUAAACCAAUCCGAGCAACACGACGGAAUUAAGCAAAAGGCUGAUGGCACUAUCUCCCUGGCUUGGUUUAUUUAUUUCGCAUGAUUUAUUAUUCCUUUCGUGGUUGACUUAUCUCUUAUUUGUAAAGCUUUCUUGUUUCAGUCAAUUUUUUGUUUUUGCGUCGUAUAUUUUGAAAGCCAAGUUUCUAAUGAAAAUUAAAUUGCCACUACCGUGUGUUAGAAAAACUGCUUUACAACAAAAUCUUCAGUAUUCAAAUUUCAUAAGAAGUCCAAUAGACAUUAAUGUAUUUCCAUUUAGGCGCCUCGUGUAUAAAGUGAGUCAUGUGAUAAGCUAUGAAAGUCACAAAUAAUGAAGCAUGGAGCGAUGACUUUGUGUACUGGAAAUUGUAAUGUUCUUAAAUGUUAAGCAAGCAGUUCUUUUGCUCAAGAUUAUUUCUAGUGAAUGCUGAUGUGUGAAAACUAGUCAACUCAGGGUUAGUGCCAUACAAUCAAAUUAUUUUAAUAUAUUUUAGCAAUGAAUAUUAUUGCUGGUUUCAAAGUUAGGAUUACAAAAGUGUUGUAUGAAACCACAAACUGGUACACAAGCGACUUGCAAUUAAUAGCGUGGAUAAUAUUAAACUUCCGGCUUCGAGCAAUAAGUAACAUUCUGCGUGAGAGAAAUGCUGAGGACAUGUUAAUAUCAAUAUUCCGUAUUUUUUGAGAUAUUUAAUUCAUCGCUAUGAAGGAAGAUAAAUUUUUUUAUGAAAACUAUAAUUUUUAUGAGAAACUGUGUUGUGGUUGAUUUAUUUAUCUGAAUACUGAUGAAGUGAAGUGUUAACUUAAAACCUGUGAUAGAUGCAUGAUGAAUGUUUUGGUACAGAGUGCUGAGCAUAAGUGUCUAAACUUCGUAAUUCCCACUGAAGAAUGAACAUGAAGCGUGUGUUUGCAUGAAAAGUGACUUUAUUUGAAUGGUAUAUUUGAGAAAAUGAAGACUGAAAGUAAUUGAAAAGCAACUUAAUUAUGUUUGCCACAAUCCUCACUGUACAUUUUUCAAUAUUAAUGUUUUAUAAUGCUGGGCUGAGAAUUUUAUACCUAGAAGCUCACCAGUAUAUAUUUUUUGUAAAAAUAAACAACUAGAGGCUACGGUUGAUAAAACACUCGAGCAGUCUUGACUGAUUAUUAUUUUUAAUAUGUAAAUUUUUUUAUUAACGAGUUUGUGCCCUCCAGUGAGUUAUGUAGUGUAAUAUGAGUGAACAAUAGUUCUUGUACAUAAUUAGGAAGCUUGUUAAUCAAAUAUAGUUGUUUCUGGCACUGAGGGUACUUACACGCAGCAGAAUUGGCAGGAUUUUUACUUGAGAAAUUUCUGUAAAUUUUGGUAUAUAGUAUAUUUUGUAUUUUUUUACAAUACUUAAAAAUAUAUGAAUGUAGUGGGCAUCAAUGUAUAACUUAUCACUGCAACAUACCAUUCUUUUACAUACAUUUCUUUCAAUGAAAGAUGCGACUUUACAAAAAUAGGCUUAAUCUUACGAGGGGAUAUAUUUUUCAUAUUGAAGCAGUCCCCAUGUUUAGCUGUCCUUGUGGCUGAAUUUUUAAGAUUCUUUUUAUGCACUGUUAAUAACCUGAAAUGUAGUGGGUGUGAGCAAUUAAAUUUGCAUACUAUUUUCUCAUUUUAAAGUCUGUAUAAAUAGUCGCUCAUGUAUAAUAUGCUAUUAUUGUACAGUUGUAACAUGCAAAUGUUAUAUUUUGGGAUAGAAAGGAACAUAUUUCAUGAAUUUACAUUAUGACGUAUUGUUGAGGUCAUAUUUUUUUUCUGUCAUUUUCUAGUCAAAUCUUAGCUGAUUUUCUUCCUAAACUCUUAGCUCUGGGAACAUACUACUCGUUGAGCGGUAGACGCUACAUAUUCAUCGAUUGUAAUACUUGAAAACAAGAGACUGAUUAGCUUUUACUUACAAUGCGUAAGCAUCCUUUUGAAUAAUUAGAAAUACUGGUUCCUAUAUACACACUGUCCUUUCAUUCACUUAUCAUAUUUAUACAGUUGUGCCACUGUCUGAUGUGAAUUGUACAUUAACAAAAUUAUUUUAAUUUGCAGAUAACCACAGAUUAUUAUGAGACUGGAUUUACAAGAGCUUACCCAUUUUGCUGAUGAGAUAGUUCUAAAAAUUAUUUUCUGGGAUUAAAAUUGUACACAAGCAAAUGGGAUGGACACAGAACAAAGUAUUUGAAAUAAGAGGAAAGGUAACUGAAGGAUUUGAAAAUCUCGUUCUGAUAAACUGCAUGUGUCACUCUGCUGCUAGAACGGUUGUCGAAUAUUGUAAGAAGAUAAGAAAUGAUGCAUAUGAGAAACAUUUCUGGACAAACUUGCUUUAUGAUACUGGAUAGGUGCGACAUGUCUAAAAGUCGGCAUAAUUUAAUAAAUUCUGCCUCUCAUUUUAAUCUCAAGACAGAAUAUCGUUAAUGUAGUGAACAGAAUUGUAAGCGUAUUUUCAUGUAGAUAUUGUAUAUAAUGCAUAUCAGCAUAUCCUGUUUUGCAAACUAAAGUUUAUGUUCAUUCACAGUUAUAACUAAAAUUUUCUGUGCAAGAAGCAAUACUAAUAUUGAUAAUGUUUUGAAUGUCAAAUUAUGUGCACGGACAAUGUAAAUAAGCGCUACUUAUAUGAGAACGAGACUGCAUAAAAAUAAGUCGCAAUGUCAGUUCACAUUCUAAAUGUUGCGCAUUUAUAAGGGAGUGGAAUAUACAAUUUUGAUUAUGUUUCCUAUACCAGCUUCUGGCUUUUUUUUGUAAAUACAAUGUGUCUCAUUUCACACAAGUAGUUACAAGAUGAAAAGUUACGUCACACACAUAAAAUUGACAGAAAAUAGUUAAAAUUACAUAGAUUAUUUAUACACACAUUAAUUUUGUUUAGAAACAUAUAUACCCGCAAUGUAUGUAAAUAAUAUCAGCUGAUGCUCAUUUUAGCUUGCUCUGCUAACUGGUUUGAUAUUAUGAAUUAAAGAGAAUAUUAUAAAGCAGAAAUAUUUCCCAUUAAUGGUUCAUGUUACUGUAAAUUUUUUUAUGGAAUUCUCUAACAUGAUAUAUACUUAAAUAAUUUAGAAAACUAUUAAAAUGGUUUGUGAAUAAUAUGAUAGUUUAUAUAUACCUAUUCUACUCAUUUUAAGGUAAAUUAUACAAAUUAAAAUAAAGGAAAUGGAGCUGGAAA
Zootermopsis nevadensis is the source of this 4899-nucleotide RNA transcript. It is a transcript of the gene named Glycogen binding subunit 70E, with no coding region annotated. The record is from RefSeq and is a predicted model, not a curated record. NCBI's taxonomy places the organism in Eukaryota, Metazoa, Arthropoda, Insecta, Blattodea, Termopsidae.